AACGAACGCUGGCGGCAUGCCUAACACAUGCAAGUCGAACGAGACCUUCGGGUCUAGUGGCGCACGGGUGCGUAACGCGUGGGAACCUGCCUUUAGGUUCGGAAUAACUCAGAGAAAUUUGAGCUAAUACCGGAUAAUGUCUUCGGACCAAAGAUUUAUCGCCUUUAGAUGGGCCCGCGUUGGAUUAGCUAGUUGGUGGGGUAAAGGCCUACCAAGGCGACGAUCCAUAGCUGGUCUGAGAGGAUGAUCAGCCACACUGGGACUGAGACACGGCCCAGACUCCUACGGGAGGCAGCAGUGGGGAAUAUUGGACAAUGGGCGAAAGCCUGAUCCAGCAAUGCCGCGUGAGUGAUGAAGGCCUUAGGGUUGUAAAGCUCUUUACCAGGGAUGAUAAUGACAGUACCUGGAGAAUAAGCUCCGGCUAACUCCGUGCCAGCAGCCGCGGU
This 446-nucleotide ribosomal RNA is filed under the name uncultured bacterium. Its description in RNAcentral is "bacterial SSU rRNA". It matches the Rfam family "Bacterial small subunit ribosomal RNA", at positions 29 to 521 of the family's 1533-position model. The record is from RNAcentral.